GGUCUGAUGGCGCAGUUGGUAGCGCGCCUGUCUAACACACAGAAGGUCCCAGGUUCGAGCCCUGGUCAGACCA
This 73-nucleotide transfer RNA is filed under the name Elsinoe ampelina. RNAcentral describes it as "tRNA-Val". It matches the Rfam family "tRNA". From Rfam's summary of the family: Transfer RNA (tRNA) molecules are approximately 80 nucleotides in length. Their secondary structure includes four short double-helical elements and three loops (D, anti-codon, and T loops). Lineage: Eukaryota; Fungi; Ascomycota; Dothideomycetes; Myriangiales; Elsinoaceae. RNAcentral also lists the same sequence under 1 other name. The record is from RNAcentral.